CGCCUCUGGCAAUGGGCAAAGAGGCACCUUGUUGGUGAUGAUUUUCUUCUAUCAGUCAAGGGCAGGGCAGGUGGCAGCUCUUUGUUCAUCCUAACUUGAUGCCUGGCUUGGUUGCCAAAGCUGCCUUAUGCCUAGGACUCAUAA
Molecule: small nucleolar RNA, 144 nt
Organism: Apodemus sylvaticus (European woodmouse)
Lineage: Eukaryota; Metazoa; Chordata; Mammalia; Rodentia; Muridae
Product: small nucleolar RNA SNORA48
Exons: 1
Source: RefSeq, a predicted model, not a curated record